CCUACGGGAGGCAGCAGGGAGGAAUAUUGGUCAAUGGGCGAGAGCCGGAACCAGCCAAGUCGCGGGAAGGAUGAAGGAUCUAUGGUUUGUAAACUUCUUUUAUAUGGGAAUAAAUUGAGGCACGUGUCCCUUUUUGUAUGUACCCUAUGAAUAAGCAUCGGCUAACUCCGUGCCAGCAGCCGCGGUAAUACGGAGGAUGCGAGCGUUAUCCGGAUUUAUUGGGUUUAAAGGGUGCGUAGGUGGUUAGUUAAGUCAGCGGUGAAAGUUUGUGGCUCAACCGUAAAAUUGCCGUUGAAACUGGUAGACUUGAGUAUAUUUGAGGUAGGCGGAAUGCGUGGUGUAGCGGUGAAAUGCAUAGAUAUCACGCAGAACUCCGAUUGCGAAGGCAGCUUACUAGACUAUAACUGACACUGAGGCACGAAAGCGUGGGGAUCAAACAGGAUUAGAUACCCCAGUAGUC
RNAcentral lists this ribosomal RNA (460 nucleotides) under uncultured bacterium. RNAcentral describes it as "partial 16S ribosomal RNA". It matches the Rfam family "Bacterial small subunit ribosomal RNA", at positions 338 to 795 of the family's 1533-position model. The record is from RNAcentral.